GGUGGUGGACGCUGGUCUGGUGAGGCAAUAGGGAAUCGUGUCGCAGGAAAUCGCUUAUCGGCAAUCCUAAUGAUCUCUCGUAAUCGCAGACAAAGGCAAUCCGAGUCGAGGGGGAAACUGCGAUUCGAUGAGCGGAGAAUAAACGCGAUUUAAAUAAAAAAUUGACAUAAAAUUACUAUUAUUAAGUUUCGCUGAAGUUGGUGAUAUUUUUUUUCUAUAUAUUUAGUCGAGACAUGGAAUUAUACUUUGUUGCUGAAUGACGGACUUUCGAAGGAGGGAUUAAACAUUCCGUUUAUCACGAAGAUUUCAGCUUAAUCUUUUGUAGAGAAGAUGGGCGACUGGGGCGGCGGCUACAACAGCGACGGCAACAGCAGCGACGGCGGGGGGCGGUGGGGGGCGGAGGGGGCUACGGCUGGGACGACAAGGACAACAGCAGCCGCAGCAGUGAGGAGAGGAACCGCUACUGGCGCAAGUCGAGCAGCAGUUCGAGCAGCAACAAGGACGCCUACGCCACCUACACGAAGGAGGACGGCGUCUCCCUCAAGGACGGGGGCGGGGGCGGGUGGGGCUUCGACGACGACGACAACGACGACCGCAACAAGGACGACGACGCCAAGAGCAACAGCAGCAGCGGCGGCAAGACCUUCGACAUCUUCAAGCACAGCCUCGAGUGGAACGACGGCGAGCAGGAGUUCAAGGACGAGGAGAUCAACCUCAGCGUCGACUCGGACCUCAACGGGGAGGAGGAGGGGAGGGGCUACUACAGCAGGCCCCGAAGGAAGUCCAGCAGCGACAGCAGCGGCCGCCGCCAUCACAAGGGCAAGAGGAGGAGCUCGUCCUCCAGUUCGAGCGAGAGGGACCGGCGGAGCGACCGGGAGUGGCGCAAGAGCAGACACGAGCAGUACUACCCGGACGUCGUCAAGUUCGACUCGUCCGAGAAGGCCAGUUGGUGCUGCUGCAUCGUCAUAUGAACUGAUGCGACACAGAAGAAGAAACAGAAUAAGAAACAGAGUCGAAUCCGUCGAAAUGCAACGUUUUUGAGCUGCUCAAAGCGGUCGCCUUUUUCUUAGCAUCUUUCAGCAUCAAACUCUGAAUCAAAUAUAGACGAUAUUAGCGGUAAAACUGAUGUAAAACUGAAGUCGCCAAGAACCACUUUUACAGUAAUAUAAAACAGUACCAACCCCUUGGUUCCAAGAAGUUGCGUAUGUCCAUAUCUGUUUAACAACCACUUGAUGUUUAAGUGGGACUUAAAUCUUGCACGUCAAAAAAAUAGAAAAAAGAAAGAAAGAAAGACAGGAAUUAAAAUUGGCUUCAUAUAAAAAAAACGAGUAAAAAAACCGAAAAGGUCAAAGAACGUGACCUUGCAACAGCACCUUUCACAAACCAAAGCCAAACAAAAAGAUAAUCGUCUUGUUAGAAUGUCACACGAAAACAUAUCUUUUAAAGGAUAAUCAUACAUUAACUAAGAUACAACAUAUCACAGCCAAAGCCUACAAACUUCGAUUAGAGGUCAUAUUCUAACGGGUCAGAUAUCAACAAAAGACUUGGCCUCCUUUCACAGGUCAAGUCCUGACGGGUCAUACUCUUAGAUAUGAGUAGAUAAGGCUUACUAGACUUUUAUAGCCAGAAGACAUGUUUUUACUUAUUUAUUUAUCUUUUUUUUUUUGCUUGCAAAUUGAGUUCCCUAAAAUUUCUGUAAAUGUGAAUAGCUAUUGUUAAAUUCAAAGCUUAUUGGGGCUUGAUAGACAGAUGAAGAGAUAUAUUUCUUUAACCUGAGGACUCUGGUUUGACCCGCAACGGGUCAAAGUGUGACCCCAAAACCACUGAAAUGAAUAUUUAUAUCUGUGGAUAUUAGAACUGCAUGGGAAGGCCAUGGGUAGCAACGAGGCUGCACAGCCUUCGAACAAAACAAAAAUAAUAAUAAAAUAAAUAAAUAAAAACUAUGCUAAACAGAUCCUCGGUUACUAUGCUUGUGGUAAAAGUAAAUAAAGAAUUAAUGGGUACUCGCCAAGCUUUUUAAGUUGAUAUUGCAUGUUGUUGCUUCGUUAGAUCUAAAUGAAAAAAAAAAAAACGAGUAUAUACUGCAUUUGUAUUUAAAGGCAUUUGUACUGUACGUUCUUCACUCUUUUUGUAUAACGCUGAGCUAAUCUGAACCUUUUACUGCCAUAGGGAAUUUCAUCAUUGUUUCGCGUCAAGACUUGUGGACUUUUCAACACAAUGGCUUAUGAGAUGUGUUCAUGUGGAAUAAUAAAUAAUAAUAAAGUAUGUUGACUUAA
Long non-coding RNA from Macrobrachium nipponense, 2276 nucleotides. RefSeq lists it as uncharacterized. The record is from RefSeq and is a predicted model, not a curated record. The transcript has 2 exons. Lineage: Eukaryota; Metazoa; Arthropoda; Malacostraca; Decapoda; Palaemonidae.